GGGAAGAGCUCACAUUUGGAAUCGGCGGUCCUUCGGCCGUCCGAGUUGUCAUCUAGAGAAGCGUGCUCCGCGCUGGCCCCGUGUACAAGUCUCCUGGAAGGGAGCGUCGUGGAGGGUGAGAACCCCGUCUCGGACACGGGACCGCCAGGGCUUUGUGAGGCGCUCUCGACGAGUCGAGUUGUUUGGGAAUGCAGCUCAAAACGGGUGGUAAACUCCAUCUAAAGCUAAAUACGGGCGAGAGACCGAUAGCGAACAAGUACCGUGAGGGAAAGAUGAAAAGGACUUUGGAAAGAGAGUCAAACAGUACGUGAAAUUGCUGGAAGGGAAACGCUGGACGUCAGUCGCGUCGAGCCGGGGGUCAGCCUCGCCUUGAGCAGGGCGUACUUCCCGGUCGGCGGGUCAGCAUCGGUCUCUGGUCGCGGCACAAGGGUCGGAGGAAGGUGGCACUCCUCGGAGUGUGUUUAUAGCCUCCGGCCGCAUGCCAGCGGUGGGGACCGACGAGGCUCGGCGCCUUCGGGGCGCCAGAGAUGCUGGCGUAAUGGCGUUCAGCGACCCGUCUUGAAACACGGACCAAGGAGUCUAACGUGCGUGCGAGCGUUCGGGCGGCAAACCCGUGCGCGGAAUGAAAGUGACCGUCGAGACCUCCGUCGUGGAGGGCACCGACGCCCGGACCCGAGUCUCUGACGAGGGCCCUGCGGCGGAGCAUGUACGUUGGGACCCGAAAGAUGGUGAACUAUGCCUGAGUAGGGCGAAGCCAGAGGAAACUCUGGUGGAGGCUCGCAGCGAUUCUGACGUGCAAAUCGAUCGUCGAA
This 812-nucleotide ribosomal RNA is filed under the name Strobilomyces aff. verruculosus HKAS 55389. RNAcentral describes it as "eukaryotic LSU rRNA". It matches the Rfam family "Eukaryotic large subunit ribosomal RNA", at positions 100 to 909 of the family's 3401-position model. Lineage: Eukaryota; Fungi; Basidiomycota; Agaricomycetes; Boletales; Boletaceae. The record is from RNAcentral.